GUUCUCGUUCUUUCUCUCUCUCAAAAUAAAUAAAUGAAAACUUAAAAAAAAAAAUAAAGACAGAAUGUGAAAACAGCUGUUACAAGGAAAGCACCUACAACCCUACCUUCUCCAUGCUUUUUCUCACUACUUCUGGGAUAUUGUGCUUCUAAUAGUAUCUGUUACCAAGUUUUGUCCAUUCUUUCUUCUCAGUAUCUAUCAUUUUAGCACACCAGAAUUGUCAUAAUCAUCUCUAACUAGUCUUUUGUAUUUUAUUUUUUUCUUUCCUCUAAAUUAGCUUGGACUUUGCUGUAUGAUUAAUAUAAAUAUUUUUAAAGCGUCUUCACAAUAAAGGUCCUGUUCAAAAUAGAGAUUUGCUGUUGUCCAUCAAUUCAAAUUCACUUGGAAGGACAUGUGUCUUGAUUGUUGCUUUUUAAUCUCUUCAUUUCAAAUUGCUGCUCUUGGAUCCCCCUAUGACCAUGUCUGGCCCUUUAAAAUGGAGAACUUGUAUGCAUAAAAGGUCAUCUGCCUGAAUAAAUUACUGUAAAGAAAAGCCAAAGGAAAAUAUUCUUGCCACAUAACUGGACACACAAAUAAAUAUCUUGCUCAAAAGGAAUUAUUUUUUUCUGCUCAUAGGCUCUGAGCCCAUUACCAUAGCAACCACAACUUGUGUUGUCUAACUGGAUGUGAAUUUUAUACACUGUUAUUUGAAAUGUUAAGGCAGUAAGUGAAGAUAAAGUGCAAUUUCUAUAAUAUUUUGGAAGGACUUGUUUAUCUCAAAAAUCUUGUAGAGGAAAAGUUUCAUUGUGCAGCCUACUCAUUUGUUUAAUGAAACAGUUUAUUCAACACUGACCAUCGGCACAGCGUGUGCUAAGCAUGUUAGAGAAGUGAAAAGCAUAAAGAACACUUACCCUGGAGGAACUUCUCUAAUAAAAUCAGCUUGUCAUGGGUA
This is a long non-coding RNA of Herpailurus yagouaroundi (jaguarundi), 931 nucleotides long. RefSeq lists it as uncharacterized. NCBI's taxonomy places the organism in Eukaryota, Metazoa, Chordata, Mammalia, Carnivora, Felidae. The transcript is spliced from 2 exons. The record is from RefSeq and is a predicted model, not a curated record.